RNA transcript from Nicotiana tabacum (common tobacco), 2527 nucleotides. RefSeq lists it as uncharacterized. The record is from RefSeq and is a predicted model, not a curated record. NCBI's taxonomy places the organism in Eukaryota, Viridiplantae, Streptophyta, Magnoliopsida, Solanales, Solanaceae.
GGAGGAAAAGUCAAGUCUAGUACUUGUAUUCUUCUCCCCCGCCGGAGUUCAAUCCUGCCUCCAUUUCAUUGUAUUACUUCUUGGUUUUCAAUUCACAAAAUCUACUGUUGAUUGAAUCAAGAACAAACUAGGGGGAGGGGUAAUAAAUCUAUAUGGAGAGAAUAAUUGGGGAGAAGUACAAGUUAGGUAGGAAGAUUGGAAGCGGCUCUUUUGGCGUUAUAUAUCUGGCUACCCACAUCGAAACCUUUGAGAUUGUUGCUGUUAAAAUUGAAAAUAGGCAGACAAGACAUCCUCAGUUGCUUUAUGAGGCAAAGCUGUACACUAUACUUCAGGGAGGAAGUGGUAUUCCUAAUAUAAAAUGGCGUGGGGUCGAUGGGAAUGAUAGCGUCCUCAUUAUUGACCUGCUUGGUCCCAGUCUUGAAGACCUCGUUGUACACUGUGGGAGGAAAUUCUCACUGAAAACUGUCCUAAUGUUGGCUGAUCAGAUGAUCACGAGAAUAGAGUAUUUGCAUUCAAAAGGAUUUCUACACAGAGACAUAAAACCAGAUAACUUUCUCAUGGGUCUUGGCAGGAAGGCAAAUCAGGUGUACAUUAUUGAUUUUGGACUUGCAAAAAGAUAUCGUGACCCCGCCACAAACCGUCAUAUUCCUUACAGAGAGAACAAAAACUUGACAGGGACAGCAAGGUAUGCCAGUUGCAAUACACAUUUGGGGAUAGAGCAAAGCCGGAGGGAUGAUCUGGAAUCUCUUGGCUACGUUCUUUUAUACUUCUUGAGAGGCAGCCUUCCAUGGCAGGGUCUAAAAGCUGAUACCAAGAAGCAAAAAUAUGACAAGAUCCGCGAGAAAAAAGUAUCAACACCAAUUGAGGUUUUAUGCAAAUCUCUUCCAGUGGAGUUUGCUUCAUACUUGCAUUAUUGUCACUCUUUAACAUUUGACCAGCGCCCUGAUUAUGGAUUCCUGAAGCGCUUGUUUCGUGACUUAUUUACACGUGAAGGGUAUAAAUUGGAUUAUGUGUUUGAUUGGACCAUCUUGAAAUAUCAGCAGACGCAGAGCUCAAGGUCGCAGCUAGAACUACCAAGCCUGCAUCCACUUUCUGUAACAACGGGCACUGGAGCAUUGCCAAAGGUUUUAAAUAAGCAAGGAUUUAAUAAUGCCACGCACUUAGCUGACGCUACAAAGCAGAAGGUAUCCGGUAAUUUUGCUCGUGGUGAUGGAUCAGCAACCUAUCUGAAACCCGAUAAUCGUACUGGAAAAAAUAUAACAACCGAUGCUUCUGUUCCUUCUACAUCGUUGGCUGAUGCUUUCAAGAGAUUCACAAAACACGAAGAUUCAAUUGAAUCUGGAAAUGUAGGUCAUGCACACAGUGGAAAAACUGGUGCUUCAAGCAGCAAGCUGCAUUUCUUAAGCAGGAUUUCUUCAGCCAAGUGAACUGGGAUGAUAGUUAUUUGACGCGGCUAGAAGUGCAGAAGUCAUCUAAUGUCUACUUCGUGAAGUUGAAUUCACUUGAGCCCUGUGUACCACUAAUGUACCUAUCUCGAGUUUUAAACCUAGGUGCUCAAGUCCCUGAAAGUUCGAAUCCAGUAUAGAGCAUUUCAGACAUCUAUAUGUCAUGAAUUUUGAUGAUGAAGCCUGCCUUUGGUGUUGAAGUUCCAAUGGGGCGUCAUCGUGGCUCUUAAUAAAUCAACCUUGCCUUUGUUUAUAAUCCUAUACUUGCUUCGGAGAUGAUGGAACUUCUAUCAGCUGAAGUAGCAGGUAAUCAAUCCGGAAUUAGAGCCUUAGCUUUUCUGCUCCUUUAUGUUUAUCUAAUCUUAUCUAAAAACAGUCUUCAUACCACUUCAUGGUGGCCAUUUUCGCUUCAAAUAAGGCUUUUCAUGUAUUUAGCUCAAUAAUAUCUUAUUUCUCUCUCUGUAUUUCUGCUCUUUCAAGUAGUGCAUGGGACAAAGAAGUUAUCGUAGUUUUGGUAAUGUUCUGUCAAGAGGCUAGUUUGUUGAACUUUUUGGCAGAACACUAAUUAGAUACACCAAUAAGUUUGGACCGAGAAGUUUCAAUCUUUUCCAUUAGCUUCAUGUUACAUUAUUUGACACGUAUCAUACCCCAGUCGUAAUUUUUUGUUUGUUGGUUAUUUUGGUUGGUUGGGGGGGUUUAUUUGUAUCUUCAUUUUCAUCUUCAUCUUCAGCACCAGAUGAUAUUCAACAAUGGUGAAAUUCAGAGAAAAAAGAACACGGAAUAUUAUUAUUAGCGUUGCAAGACAAGAUCCUAAGUCGGACAGGUGGUAUUCUGGAUUGAAACUCACAAAGACCAAUCACAAGUCUGAAAAUUUUGUGCUGAAUUUAAAUGAAUAGAACACAAGUUUGUUCGUCUAGUUCUUGAUGUGGUACAAGGCUUGUGAACCUCAGGGAACUGGUUUAUUCAAUGUUCAAGUGCUCUUUUACCUGCAAAUACAGUGUAGCGGUGUAGGUCUAGAGUUAUGUUGCUGAACAUACCAAAACUAAUCGUCCGUCCACCACUAAUUGGGAAUCUUUACUGCA